AUACGUAGGGAGCGAGCGUUGUCCGGAAUUACUGGGCGUAAAGGGCGCGUAGGCGGCGCUUCAAGUCGUCUGUCAAAUGGGAGGGCUUAACCCUUUUUCGCAGACGAAACUGGAGAGCUUGAGAAGCAGAGAGGCAAACAGAAUUCCUGGUGUAGCGGUGAAAUGCGUAGAUAUCAGGAAGAAUACCAGUGGCGAAGGCGGUUUGCUGGCUGCAUACUGACGCUGAAGCGCGAAAGCCAGGGGAGCAAACGGGAUUAGAUACCCCGGUAGUCCUGGCAGUAAACGAUGUAUGCUGGGUGUGAGACUAGCGAUAGUUUUGUGCCGAAGUUAACGCGAUAAGCAUACCGCCUGGGGAGUACGGUCGCAAGAUUGAAACUCAAAGGAAUUGACGGGG
Molecule: ribosomal RNA, 394 nt
Filed under: uncultured bacterium
Lineage: Bacteria
Description: partial 16S ribosomal RNA
Rfam family: Bacterial small subunit ribosomal RNA
Source: RNAcentral